This 253-nucleotide ribosomal RNA is filed under the name uncultured bacterium. RNAcentral's name for it is "partial 16S ribosomal RNA". It matches the Rfam family "Bacterial small subunit ribosomal RNA", at positions 524 to 776 of the family's 1533-position model. The record is from RNAcentral.
AACGUAGGAGGCGAGCGUUAUCCGGAUUUACUGGGCGUAAAGCGCACGCAGGUGGUGGCGUGAGUCGGACGUGAAAGCUCCCGGCUUAACUGGGCGAGGCCGUUCGAGACUGCGUCACUUGAGGUUGGGAGAGGGGUGCGGAAUUCCCGGUGUAGUGGUGGAAUGCGUAGAGAUCGGGAGGAACACCAGUGGCGAAAGCGGCACCCUGGCCCACACCUGACGCUGAGGUGCGAAAGCGUGGGGAGCAAACAGG